Melozone crissalis (California towhee) is the source of this 155-nucleotide long non-coding RNA. RefSeq lists it as uncharacterized. The transcript has 3 exons. The record is from RefSeq and is a predicted model, not a curated record. NCBI's taxonomy places the organism in Eukaryota, Metazoa, Chordata, Aves, Passeriformes, Passerellidae.
CGCCGCGCUCCGGCUGCUGCCGCCGCUGCCCGCGAUGGAGGCCCUGCCCAAGGGGGGGCUGGGGGCUCUGGCCAAGCCCCGGCGCCCGGUGAUCGCCUGCAGCGUCUGCCAGAUCCGCUUCAACUCCGAGAGCCAGGCCGCCGCUCACUACCAGG